GAUGAACGCUGGCGGCGUGCCUAAUACAUGCAAGUCGAGCGAACAGACGAGGAGCUUGCUCCUCUGACGUUAGCGGCGGACGGGUGAGUAACACGUGGAUAACCUACCUAUAAGACUGGGAUAACUUCGGGAAACCGGAGCUAAUACCGGAUAAUAUAUUGAACCGCAUGGUUCAAUAGUGAAAGACGGUUUUGCUGUCACUUAAAGAUGGAUCCGCGCCGCAUUAGCUAGUUGGUAAGGUAACGGCUUACCAAGGCAACGAUGCGUAGCCGACCUGAGAGGGUGAUCGGCCACACUGGAACUGAGACACGGUCCAGACUCCUACGGGAGGCAGCAGUCGGGAAUCUUCCGCAAUGGGCGAAAGCCUGACGGAGCAACGCCGCGUGAGUGAUGAAGGUCUUCGGAUCGUAAAACUCUGUUAUUAGGGAAGAACAAAUGUGUAAGUAACUAUGCACGUCUUGACGGUACCUAAUCAGAAAGCCACGGCUAACUACGUG
Molecule: ribosomal RNA, 497 nt
Filed under: uncultured bacterium
Lineage: Bacteria
Description: partial 16S ribosomal RNA
Rfam family: Bacterial small subunit ribosomal RNA
Source: RNAcentral